GUGAUGCGCUGGAACAUCCCAGGCUAUCUGAUCUCAUAUCCACGUUUUAAUCUUUCUCUCCUUUCCCGAUUACCACACGUGUACACGCGUUGACUGCAGAACAUGAUGGAAGCGUGAGCUUGGCAAUCAGAUCUGCCACCUCAAUUAAUGAGGGAGAUAUGAUGGACCUUGUUUUUUUGAAUUUUAUUUUAAUUUCUGAAUUUCCA
RNAcentral lists this long non-coding RNA (206 nucleotides) under Lathyrus oleraceus (garden pea). RNAcentral's name for it is "Pisum sativum (pea) long non-coding RNA (PSAT_LNC006312)". Lineage: Eukaryota; Viridiplantae; Streptophyta; Magnoliopsida; Fabales; Fabaceae. The record is from RNAcentral.